Long non-coding RNA from Centropristis striata (black sea bass), 1278 nucleotides. RefSeq lists it as uncharacterized. Lineage: Eukaryota; Metazoa; Chordata; Actinopteri; Perciformes; Serranidae. The transcript is spliced from 3 exons. The record is from RefSeq and is a predicted model, not a curated record.
UUAAUUGUAUUAAGUAAUGCUUACUUAAAAUUUGUUAAGAAGUUAUACUAACUUGAACAUGUUAAGUGCCGGUAACUUUUUUCUUGUUUUGAGUUUACUAAAUUGAUAUUUUUUGAUUAAUAUGAACUUUUCCACGGAUUAUGUAACAACUACUUUAAAUGAUAAGUUCAUAGGUACUUAAAACUUUUCAGUUUUGACAUCAUAUAUGUCCUAUUUUGACCAAAUAAAUCAAUCGCAUGUGUAAAUAAAAAACUGUUAGAAGAAUUGUUGAAUCAAUAUAUGUUGCUACAUUUCAGAUUGGCAAAAAUAAAUAUAUUGCAUGUUAGGAAUUAAUAAUUUUCAUAUUAUAAUGUUGACAAAUAUUAAUGAAUAACAAUGACCUCUGGGCAUCCACACUAAAUAUAAAUCAAGACAAACACGCUUGUACCGGAAGUGUCCACGCGCUUUUAUUUUGAAAUUUUUGCGUGCGUUUCCUGUGCUGCCCGUGUGGAGCUGCUCGCGUCACCUGAGGUGAAACACGCUACCCCACAGAGAGGACUGCCGUUGGAGUUACUGUCAUCGGAGUUUCUGCUUUUUUCGCCAGGUUUCAGCGCCAUUGGAUUAAAUGAAUUACAUGAUGUGUACACAAGGCGUACCACUAUCCUACAUGCCCUUCCUGUAUAUCUGCGGGAGGAAAUCUCUGGAUUUUACAGAACAUGCGUGGAUGAUUUAGAGGAGCCAGAUGUCACAGAUGCAACGGUGGCCCUCCUUACAACCAUCAGCGAAAAUACCAUGAGUCCAGUCCACUACCACCCAGUAAAAACCUCUGUUGUCCUCGAAGGUGAUGUGGUGGUCAGCCUCCCCAGACUUGAUGAUGAUUCCUCUUAAUGUUCGGCCUAAUCUAUGCGCUACAUCUGAGCUAUCCCCAAGGACUGACCAACACUUUUGAGUUCAUUCAGAAAGUCGUACUUGGUCUGGAUGAGGGUAAAUUGUCACCCAGGCUGCAGACACUCAAGAAUGACUUGAUGAUAUGAUGAUGACAUCAUCUACAACAGUGUCCAUGUUGACGACUGUUUAACUGUGUUGAAGUUACUCCACAGGCCUAUUUGUUCAUGCAGUUUCACAUUUUAAAGGAAAACACAGUUCAUAGUGUUGAACUUUGUUUAGAUUUUAGUAAUUUAGUUGCUGGGACCUUAUUUCCCUCUGAGGACUUCUUGUUUAUUCUAUGGUAUGCUUCUUGUUUUAUUAUAUGGUGAAAAAAUGUUUAAAUUCAUUUUCCAAAGCUACAUACCUUGAAGU